Long non-coding RNA from Thunnus maccoyii (southern bluefin tuna), 405 nucleotides. RefSeq lists it as uncharacterized. The record is from RefSeq and is a predicted model, not a curated record. The transcript has 3 exons. Lineage: Eukaryota; Metazoa; Chordata; Actinopteri; Scombriformes; Scombridae.
AACAUACAACAACCGUUAAAAAAACCGUUAUAACAGACAGUCCGUUAAAGUCCAGUGCUCGUUUCUAAUUGGCUGAGCCGCGGUUGAAGAUGCACACGCGCACCUGCGGCCGCAGUACAGUUGAUUAGAAUAUUAAUGCGCUAACCGUUAUAAAUUGAUUGGUAGGUUAAGUUUAAAGUACUAUAUUGUUUGGCGGAAGCAUGAUAUACCUCUGACGUGCUGAAGGUGGCUCUUCUUUGGCUGAUCGACAACCUGAAGGUGUGUUUGGUGCUCCUCACCUCGUGGGCGAUGAAGUAGUAACACAGAGCGUCCAAGCAGCAGGAACUGCAGGAAGAUGCCCAGGUGGCUCGGCGUGAAAGGCAGCAAAAAGGCACUCAGACUGCUGUAGAUGAUCUUCACGCAGGC